This 492-nucleotide ribosomal RNA is filed under the name uncultured bacterium. RNAcentral's name for it is "partial 16S ribosomal RNA". It matches the Rfam family "Bacterial small subunit ribosomal RNA", at positions 29 to 507 of the family's 1533-position model. The record is from RNAcentral.
AGUGAACGCUGGCGGUAGGCCUAACACAUGCAAGUCGAAUGGCAGCACAGUAAGAGCUUGCUCUUACGGGUGGCGAGUGGCGGACGGGUGAGGAAUACAUCGGAAUCUACUUUUUCGUGGGGGAUAACGUAGGGAAACUUACGCUAAUACCGCAUACGACCUACGGGUGAAAGCAGGGGAUCUUCGGACCUUGCGCGAUUGAAUGAGCCGAUGUCGGAUUAGCUAGUUGGCGGGGUAAAGGCCCACCAAGGCGACGAUCCGUAGCUGGUCUGAGAGGAUGAUCAGCCACACUGGAACUGAGACACGGUCCAGACUCCUACGGGAGGCAGCAGUGGGGAAUAUUGGACAAUGGGCGCAAGCCUGAUCCAGCCAUACCGCGUGGGUGAAGAAGGCCUUCGGGUUGUAAAGCCCCUUUGUUGGGAAAGAAAAGCAGCAGGUUAAUACCCCGCUGUUCUGACGGUACCCAAAGAAUAAGCACCGGCUAACUUCGUG